This 559-nucleotide ribosomal RNA is filed under the name uncultured fungus. RNAcentral's name for it is "eukaryotic LSU rRNA". The stretch from base 206 to 359 matches the Rfam family "5.8S ribosomal RNA". The record is from RNAcentral. Lineage: Eukaryota; Fungi.
CGUACAGGUCUCCGUAGGUGAACCUGCGGAGGGAUCAUUACACAAAUAUGAAGGCGGGCUGGAACCUCUCGGGGUUACAGCCUUGCUGAAUUAUUCACCCUUGUCUUUUGCGUACUCCUUGUUUCCUUGGUGGGUUCGCCCACCACUAGGACAAACAUAAACCUUUUGUAAUUGCAAUCAGCGUCAGUAACAAAUUAAUAAUUACAACUUUCAACAACGGAUCUCUUGGUUCUGGCAUCGAUGAAGAACGCAGCGAAAUGCGAUAAGUAGUGUGAAUUGCAGAAUUCAGUGAAUCAUCGAAUCUUUGAACGCACAUUGCGCCCUUUGGUAUUCCAAAGGGCAUGCCUGUUCGAGCGUCAUUUGUACCCUCAAGCUUUGCUUGGUGUUGGGCGUCUUGUCUCUAGCUUUGCUGGAGACUCGCCUUAAAGUAAUUGGCAGCCGGCCUACUGGUUUCGGAGCGCAGCACAAGUCGCACUCUCUAUCAGCAAAGGUCUAGCAUCCAUUAAGCCUUUUUUUCAACUUUUGACCUCGGAUCAGGUAGGGAUACCCGCUGAACUUA